This 479-nucleotide ribosomal RNA is filed under the name uncultured bacterium. RNAcentral's name for it is "bacterial SSU rRNA". It matches the Rfam family "Bacterial small subunit ribosomal RNA", at positions 29 to 506 of the family's 1533-position model. The record is from RNAcentral.
AUGAACGCUGGCGGCGUGCCUAACACAUGCAAGUCGAGCGGUAUAUACUUUAUCAAAUCUUCGGAAGAGAGACGGUAUAGAGAGCGGCGGACGGGUGAGUAACGCGUAGGCAACCUGCCCCAUACAGAGGGAUAGCCUCGGGAAACCGGGAUUAAAACCUCAUAACGCGAAGGAUUCACAUGGAUCUUUCGCCAAAGAUUUAUCGGUAUGGGAUGGGCCUGCGUCUGAUUAGCUAGUUGGUAAGGUAACGGCUUACCAAGGCAACGAUCAGUAGCCGACCUGAGAGGGUAAUCGGCCACAUUGGAACUGAGACACGGUCCAAACUCCUACGGGAGGCAGCAGUGGGGAAUAUUGCACAAUGGGCGAAAGCCUGAUGCAGCAACGCCGCGUGAGCGAUGAAGGCCUUUGGGUCGUAAAGCUCUGUCCUUGGGGAAGAAAAAAAUGACGGUACCCUUGGAGGAAGCCCCGGCUAACUACGU